GACGAACGCUGGCGGCGUGCCUAAUACAUGCAAGUUGAGCGCUGAAGGUUGGUACUUGUACCAACUGGAUGAGCAGCGAACGGGUGAGUAACGCGUGGGGAAUCUGCCUUUUAGCGGGGGACAACAUUUGGAAACGAAUGCUAAUACCGCAUAAAAACUUUAAACACAAGUUUUAAGUUUGAAAGAUGCAAUUGCAUCACUCAAAGAUGAUCCCGCGUUGUAUUAGCUAGUUGGUGAGGUAAAGGCUCACCAAGGCGAUGAUACAUAGCCGACCUGAGAGGGUGAUCGGCCACAUUGGGACUGAGACACGGCCCAAAAUCCUACGGGAGGCAGCAGGAGGGAAUCUUCGGCAAUGGACGAAAGUCUGACCGAGCAACGCCGCGUGAGUGAAGAAGGUUUUCGGAUCGUAAAACUCUGUUGGUAGAGAAGAACGUUGGUGAGAGUGGAAAGCUCAUCAAGUGACGGUAACUACCCAGAAAGGGACGGCUAACUACGUG
Molecule: ribosomal RNA, 497 nt
Filed under: uncultured bacterium
Lineage: Bacteria
Description: partial 16S ribosomal RNA
Rfam family: Bacterial small subunit ribosomal RNA
Source: RNAcentral